GCAGUGGUGAUUCACUGGUAGAAUUCUUGUCUUCCAUGCAGGAGAUCUGGGUUUGAUUCUCGGCCAAUGCG
RNAcentral lists this transfer RNA (71 nucleotides) under Loxodonta africana (African savanna elephant). It matches the Rfam family "tRNA". Rfam says of the family: Transfer RNA (tRNA) molecules are approximately 80 nucleotides in length. The record is from Rfam by way of RNAcentral. Lineage: Eukaryota; Metazoa; Chordata; Mammalia; Proboscidea; Elephantidae.